This 270-nucleotide long non-coding RNA is filed under the name Elaeis guineensis (African oil palm). Its description in RNAcentral is "long non-coding RNA (EGUI_LNC069281)". Lineage: Eukaryota; Viridiplantae; Streptophyta; Magnoliopsida; Arecales; Arecaceae. The record is from RNAcentral.
GUGAUGGGUCAAUCGAUGAGUGGAUAACUCUUGUCCAAUGAUUCUCUAAUCAUGGUGCAUCUAAAACUUGGUCUCUAAUUCAUGAAGCUCAUCAUGUUCGAAAUAUUGCUCCAAUCCUUAGUUAAGUCAGGCCCACCAUUUGCAUGAAUUAGAUUCCUAAUUGGGUCCCUCACCGUAUCCAAAAUAUUGAGCACAACCCAUCCUCUAAUCCGUAGCAUCCAAUGCCUAAUGGACAUGGUUGCAUCUUUCCGGUGCAACUGAGCCACUGUA